RNAcentral lists this ribosomal RNA (253 nucleotides) under uncultured bacterium. Its description in RNAcentral is "partial 16S ribosomal RNA". It matches the Rfam family "Bacterial small subunit ribosomal RNA", at positions 524 to 776 of the family's 1533-position model. The record is from RNAcentral.
UACAGAGGGCGCGAGCGUUAAUCGGAAUUACUGGGCGUAAAGGGUGCGUAGGCGGUUAGAUAAGUUAGAUGUGAAAUCCCCGGGCUUAACCUGGGAAUUGCAUUUAAUACUGUAUGACUAGAGUAGAGUAGAGGGAAGUGGAAUUUCCGGUGUAGCGGUGAAAUGCGUAGAUAUCGGAAAGAACAUCAGUGGCGAAGGCGGCUUCCUGGACUCAUACUGACGCUGAGGCACGAAAGCAUGGGGAGCAAACAGG